UACGUAGGGUGCGAGCGUUGUCCGGAAUUACUGGGCGUAAAGAGCUUGUAGGUGGUUUGUCGCGUUGUUCGUGAAAUCUCACGGCUCAACUGUGAGCGUGCGGGCGAUACGGGCAGACUAGAGUACUGCAGGGGAGACUGGAAUUCCUGGUGUAGCGGUGGAAUGCGUAGAUAUCGGGAGGAACACCGGUGGCGAAGGCGGCCUUCUGGACGGAUACUGACGCUGAUACGCGAAAGCGUGGGGAGCAAACAGG
Molecule: ribosomal RNA, 253 nt
Filed under: uncultured bacterium
Lineage: Bacteria
Description: partial 16S ribosomal RNA
Rfam family: Bacterial small subunit ribosomal RNA
Source: RNAcentral